This 212-nucleotide long non-coding RNA is filed under the name Lathyrus oleraceus (garden pea). RNAcentral describes it as "Pisum sativum (pea) long non-coding RNA (PSAT_LNC028451)". Lineage: Eukaryota; Viridiplantae; Streptophyta; Magnoliopsida; Fabales; Fabaceae. The record is from RNAcentral.
GAAGGUCAUCAUGGGGUCGAUGUCAGGCAUCUCAUACAGGGAGAUAACAAAAAGAUCAGCAUUCUCUCGGAGACAAUUGAUCAACACAGACUUUACUUCAGUAGAAAGCCUGAAUCAUAUCUUAACUGACCGAGCAGAAUUAUCAUCAAGAUGAAUAACUUUAAAAUCAAUGUCCGGAAUAGGUCUAACCUACUCUUCACAUGCAUCCAAAU